AGACAAAUCCUAAACAAAUUCUAAUAAAAUUUUAGACAAAUCUUAAUUAAAUCCUAGAAAAAUCCUAAACAAAACUUAAUAAAAUUCUAAACAAAUUCUAAUCAAAUUUUAGACAAAUCUUAAUUAAAUCCUAGACAAAUCCUAAACAAAUCUUAAUCAAAUCCUAAAUAAAUUCUAAUCAAAUUUUAGACAAAUAUUAAUUAAAUCCU
Molecule: long non-coding RNA, 209 nt
Filed under: Physcomitrium patens
Lineage: Eukaryota; Viridiplantae; Streptophyta; Bryopsida; Funariales; Funariaceae
Description: long non-coding RNA (PPAT_LNC009243)
Source: RNAcentral